GGAGCGUUCCGUACGCCUGUGAAGCGGUCUGGUAAUGGACCGUGGAGGUAUCGGAAGUGCGAAUGCAGACAUGAGUAGCGAUAAAGAGGGUGAGAUGCCCUCUCGCCGAAAGACCAAGGGUUCCUGCGCAAGGCUAAUCCGCGCAGGGUAAGCCGGCCCCUAAGACGAGCCCGAAGGGGGUAGUCGAUGGGAACCACGUUAAUAUUCGUGGGCCUGGAGGUGUGUGACGGAUGGCGUAAAUUGUCAGGGCUUAUUGGAUUGCUCCUGGCAGUGAAGUUGUCCCAGGAAAUAGCCCCUCCGUAUAGACCGUACCCUAAACCGACACAGGUGGACUGGUAGAGAAUACCAAGGCGCUUGAGAGAACCACAUUUAAGGAACUCGGCAAAAUACCUCCGUAAGUUCGCGAGAAGGAGGCCCGAUUGGUGCGCAAGCAUUGGUCGGGGGCACAAACCAGGGGGUGGCGACUGUUUACUAAAAACACAGGGCUCUGCGAAGCCGUAAGGCGACGUAUAGGGUCUGACGCCUGCCCGGUGCCGGAAGGUUAAAAGGAGAUGUGCAAGCAUUGAAUUGAAGCCCCGGUAAACGGCGGCCGUAACGAUAACGGUCCUAAGGUAGCG
This 617-nucleotide ribosomal RNA is filed under the name uncultured Isochrysis. Its description in RNAcentral is "partial Bacterial large subunit ribosomal RNA". It matches the Rfam family "Bacterial large subunit ribosomal RNA", at positions 1233 to 1961 of the family's 2925-position model. Lineage: Eukaryota; Haptophyta; Isochrysidales. The record is from RNAcentral.